AUGAACGCUAGCGACAGGCCUAACACAUGCAAGUCAGGGGCAGCACAAGGAGCAAUCUGAGGUGGCGACCGGCGCACGGGUGAGUAACACGUAUGCAACCUGCCUGUAAGCGGGGAAUAACCCGUUGAAAGACGGACUAAUACCGCAUAAUACUAAAUUACUGCAUGGUAAUUUAUUUAAACAUUUAUGGCUUACAGAUGGGCAUGCGCAUGAUUAGCUAGUUGGAGAGGUAACGGCUCCCCAAGGCAACGAUCAUUAGGGGUUCUGAGAGGAAGGUCCCCCACACUGGUACUGAGACACGGACCAGACUCCUACGGGAGGCAGCAGUGAGGAAUAUUGGUCAAUGGACGAGAGUCUGAACCAGCCAAGUCGCGUGCAGGAAGAAUGUCCUUAAUGGAUUGUAAACUGCUUUUGCAGGGGAAUAAAGUGCAUCACGUGUGAUGUUUUGUAUGUACUCUGCGAAUAAGGAUCGGCUAACUCCGUGCCAGCAGCGGC
RNAcentral lists this ribosomal RNA (495 nucleotides) under uncultured bacterium. RNAcentral's name for it is "bacterial SSU rRNA". It matches the Rfam family "Bacterial small subunit ribosomal RNA", at positions 29 to 518 of the family's 1533-position model. The record is from RNAcentral.